UCGUGCUGUCGGCAUCGGGUACUACAAACGAUGGCAUCACUCUAAACAGAAGGACAUCUAGGCGCCUAGCUUAGUUAUGACAGCCUUGCAUCGACUCUCUUUUUUGGGCACAGCAAGCUUCUCGGGCUUGCUUUGCGCAGUUUCGACUAACAAUGCAGUAAAUCGUUUCUAAAUUUCUAAUGGAGGCAUAUAUCAUGCAGGAGAAGCAACCGCGGCCAAAUUUAAGAAUGUCAGGCACCGCUGGUUGAAGAUUGUUUCCGGCGUGGAAAAACCGAGGAGCGGCUCCAGCGGAAAUGUUGGGAAAGUAAAAACAAAGUGGAUUUUAUUUGACGUGAUCAACGUUCUUAAGAACACGCCGCACUACGCUGAAAGGACCGCCACAAACUUGCCGGUUGAGGAAUAUAGGGACACAGAGCAGCCCUCCACAUCCAGUUCGACUGCAGCAAGUCUUGACCUCGCAGAGAGCUGUCCCCUGAGCCCUGCUAAGGUUGUUUUUGAAGCAAUUAAAUAAUCCAGGUACUCCAAUGGCCCUGCUCUCUUGCUAUCAAAGGAAAACAGCCCAAGCAUCUAUGAACACCCAGGCACGGGAGCCGAUGUAGGUCCUUCACGGUAAG
This 614-nucleotide long non-coding RNA is filed under the name Ixodes scapularis (black-legged tick). Its description in RNAcentral is "uncharacterized LOC115320157, transcript variant X2". The record is from RNAcentral. Lineage: Eukaryota; Metazoa; Arthropoda; Arachnida; Ixodida; Ixodidae.